GUCAGCGGCAGACGGGUGAGUAACGCGUGGGAACGUACCUUCUGGUCUGGAAUAACCCAGGGAAACUUGGGCUAAUACCGGAUACGCCCUUUGGGGGAAAGGUUUACUGCCGGAAGAUCGGCCCGCGUCUGAUUAGCUAGUUGGUGGGGUAAUGGCCUACCAAGGCGACGAUCAGUAGCCGACCUGAGAGGGUGAUCGGCCACACUGGGACUGAGACACGGCCCAGACUCCUACGGGAGGCAGCAGUAGGGAAUCUUCCGCAAUGGACGAAAGUCUGACGGAGCAACGCCGCGUGAGUGAUGAAAGGUUUUCGGAUCGUAAAGCUCUGUUGUUAGGGAAGAACAAGUGCGAGAGUAACUGCUCGCACCUUGACGGUACCUAACCAGAAAGCCACGGCUAACUACGUGCCAGCAGCCGCGGUAAUACGUAGGUGGCAAGCGUUGUCCGGAAUUAUUGGGCGUAAAGGGCUCGCAGGCGGUUUCUUAAGUCUGAUGUGAAAGCCCCCGGCUCAACCGGGGAGGGUCAUUGGAAACUGGGAAACUUGAGUGCAGAAGAGGAGAGUGGAAUUCCACGUGUAGCGGUGAAAUGCGUAGAGAUGUGGAGGAACACCAGUGGCGAAGGCGACUCUCUGGUCUGUAACUGACGCUGAGGAGCGAAAGCGUGGGGAGCGAACAGGAUUAGAUACCCUGGUAGUCCACGCCGUAAACGAUGAGUGCUAAGUGUUAAGGGGGUUUCCGCCCCUUAGUGCUGCAGCUAACGCAUUAAGCACUCCGCCUGGGGAGUACGGUCGCAAGACUGAAACUCAAAGGAAUUGACGGGGGCCCGCACAAGCGGUGGAGCAUGUGGUUUAAUUCGAAGCAACGCGAAGAACCUUACCAGGUCUUGACAUCCUCUGACAACCCUAGAGAUAGGGCUUUCCCUUUCGGGGACAGAGUGACAGGUGGUGCAUGGUUGUCGUCAGCUCGUGUCGUGAGAUGUUGGGUUAAGUCCCGCAACGAGCGCAACCCUUGAUCUUAGUUGCCAGCAUUUAGUUGGGCACUCUAAGGUGACUGCCGGUGACAAACCGGAGGAAGGUGGGGAUGACGUCAAAUCAUCAUGCCCCUUAUGACCUGGGCUACACACGUGCUACAAUGGACAGAACAAAGGGCUGCAAGACCGCAAGGUUUAGCCAAUCCCAUAAAUCUGUUCUCAGUUCGGAUCGCAGUCUGCAACUCGACUGCGUGAAGCUGGAAUCGCUAGUAAUCGC
This 1246-nucleotide ribosomal RNA is filed under the name uncultured bacterium. RNAcentral's name for it is "bacterial SSU rRNA". It matches the Rfam family "Bacterial small subunit ribosomal RNA", at positions 91 to 1345 of the family's 1533-position model. The record is from RNAcentral.